AUUAUGCCCAAGUAAUGUAGUAAUUAAUUAAUUAAUACUCAACCAUAUCUAAAAUCUUAAUUUGAUUACAACAAAAAGCUCUCUAUAUUAUGUAUAAUUUAGAGAUGUUGUAACUUUUAUCAAAUAUACUAGCUAGGUAAUAAUCAAAUAAUUAGAAAAUUCUAUUCACUAGUUAGAUAAAGAUCAAUAACUUAAAAUCUUAAAUUGAAGGAUCCGAUUUUUAGAACGUCGUUCGAUUUUAAUCGUUCAUUUUAUACCCGCUUGAUAGAUUUUAUUAUGAUUUAAAAAAAUUACAAAAUCUAUUUUCUAAAAGUUUCAAAUACUCUAAAUCAUAUUUAACAAAUUUGUUGAAAACUCCAUCAUCGAAAAUAACUUAUGAGUACAAAAAGCUCUAUACUCAUAAGAGUAUAAUAGCUAUNGAGAGAGAGAGAGCUAGGCUCCUAUGCUUUCAAAAAUACGGAGGCCUCCGUACUUGUAAGUAAUAAAUCUAAUGAUGGAAAACUUGAUUGCACCAAAUAGUUGGUACUAUUAGAAGAAUUUCAGUUGGACUCUUAAAUAUAUAUAUAUAUAUAGGAAAAACUUCAAAAACCAUUCGUAUGGUUUUCACAAUUUCUCACAUUUGUACCAUGUGGUUUAAUUAAAGUGUAUCAAUUUAGUGUCCUAUGGUUUCAUUUUUAUCUUUUUAUUAUUAAUUUCACAAUUUUUUCAUUAAAUCUGCAACAAAGUUAAAACUAAAGAGUAUUAAAGUGAAUAUUCAAUAAAUCUAGGUGGAGUAUGUAAAGUUUUUUAUGUAUAAUUUAACAAAAUAUUAACAGAUAAGCUGACGGAAAGAUAAAAAUGAAACCAUAUGACACUAGAUACAUUUUAAACUACAUGAUAUUAAAGUGAGAAAGUGCAAGACCACAGGGAUGGUAUCUGAAGUUUACCCAUAUAUAUAUAGAGAGAGAGAGAGAAAGAGAGAGAGAGAGAGAGCGAGCUAGGCUCCAAUGUUUUCGAAAGUUCGGAGGCCUCCAUACUUGCAAGUUAUUUUUGAUGAUGGAACAUUCGAUUCAAUGAUCGGUUCCAUUGGACAAAUCUACGCUAUUGGAACUAUCUAGAAACUAAAUUUCAUAAUUUUUUGCCUUCGUUUGCCUGGUGAACGAGUAGGCUCAAAAUGAACGGUUGAAAAUAAAAAUCUCAUAAAAAAUAGUGAUAAAAUAUUCAAAUUUCAAAUCAGGAGUAUUGUUCUUGCUCUUAAUAUUAAGUAUAAUUUUCUAUUAAAGUUUCAUAUAAUUUGAAUACUUCUACACCGUUAAACUUAAAAACGGGCCACAUCGGCCAUUAAAAUAGUCAUAUUUGAGACCCUAUGAUCGCUUGGUAAAUGAUGUCAAAAAAUUAUGAAAUUUGGUUUCUAGAUAGUUCCAAUAGCAUAAAUUAUGUCUAACGGAGCCGAUCGUCGAAUCGAAUGUCCUAUCAUCGAAAACAACUUAUAAGCACGGAGGCAUCCGUGCUAGGCUAGUAUACUAUCGGUAGCAUGGAGACCUCCGUGCUACCAAGUUGUUUCAAUGAUGUGGCUUCCAAAUCGACGAUCGGCUUCGUUAGACUUGAUCUACACUAUUGAAAGUAUUUGAAAACUAAAUUUCAUAAUUUUUCAGCAUCAUUUGGCUAGUGAUCAAAAGGUCUCAAAAUUGGCAAUUUUAAUGGUAGAUGUGAUGUGUUUAUAAAUUUAACGGUGUAAAACAAUUCAAAUUUAAUGAAAAUUUAUAGAAAUUUUUUUUUCACUAUUUAGAGUAAGAUUAGUGCCCCUGAUAUUAAAUUCAAAUCUUUUAUCAUUAUUUUUUAUGAUAUUUUUAUUUUCAGCUGUUCAUUUUUAGACGACUCGUUUGAUGAGUAAAUGAUGUCGAAAUAUUAUGAAAUUUAGUUUCCAAAUACUUUUAAUAGUAUAGAUUAAGUCUAACGGA
This 1940-nucleotide long non-coding RNA is filed under the name Ananas comosus (pineapple). Its description in RNAcentral is "long non-coding RNA (ACOM_LNC010574)". The record is from RNAcentral. Lineage: Eukaryota; Viridiplantae; Streptophyta; Magnoliopsida; Poales; Bromeliaceae.